GGCCCCAUCGUCUAUCGGUUAGGACAUCAGGUUCUCAUCCUGGUAAGCAGGGUUCGACUCCCUGUGGGGUCACCA
Molecule: transfer RNA, 75 nt
Filed under: Candidatus Uhrbacteria bacterium
Lineage: Bacteria; Candidatus Uhriibacteriota
Description: tRNA-Glu
Rfam family: tRNA
About the family: Transfer RNA (tRNA) molecules are approximately 80 nucleotides in length. Their secondary structure includes four short double-helical elements and three loops (D, anti-codon, and T loops).
Source: RNAcentral